Scylla paramamosain (green mud crab) is the source of this 2196-nucleotide long non-coding RNA. RefSeq lists it as uncharacterized. The record is from RefSeq and is a predicted model, not a curated record. The transcript is spliced from 7 exons. NCBI's taxonomy places the organism in Eukaryota, Metazoa, Arthropoda, Malacostraca, Decapoda, Portunidae.
AUUCCGCUCGAAGCUCUUCAUUGAACCAGAAUAGCUCCCGUCAGGAAAGUGAAGCCUGGUAGUGGAUGUGAUGAAGCACUGUUACAUCAAAGAGAAACGAAAAUAGAUUUUAUGAUAACAGGCAAUGAAGGACUCGGUGAAAAAUAAAAGUGCUAUUGACGGAGUAAGUGCAGAAAACGGCCAUCGUGGUAUUAGACAAAGGCAAAGAGCUUCACAAAGUGCUUCGAAACUCGUCCAGAACCAGAGGCAGUGAACACAGACUCGAUGAACCCUUGUCGGCCAUGCAGAGGCAAACGACCGAGCUCAUUGUGACCCUCGUGUUUGUGCCUCUCUGUGUGCUGGCCUGGCAUUCUGUGUGGACGUGGCGGUGUUGUCUACACCGGUGGUGGUGAUGGUGAUAGCGAUGGUGAAUGUGCGGGACUGUGGUGGUGGUGAUGAUGGUAUUUGCGGAUGUAGCAUCUAGAAAUCGUGGUGGUGAUGGUGGUUGUUAUGGUGUGCCACCGAAGUCCCGAGCGGCUUCGAGACAAGGAAGAGAAGCUACGCGGCUCACUUCUGCCAGUCAGUCAGUGCUGUGACACAAGGAGCAGCUGUCUCAGCGGAGAGACGGUGGACGGCGGAUGAAUACUUCGGCUCCCGCGCCUUCUUCCGCAUCAUGUCCGACCCGCCGAUCCUGGUGGUGGGCGGCGUGCGUCAGAGGAGUUGAAAAAUGUAUAGGACACGCUGCUGUGCUCUGCGUGUAGCUGUGAGGUGAGAGAAGACACAUCAUGUUGAGGGAAGGCAGCUGCACUAGUGACAGCAGCAGCAGAGCCCCACCACUGCUGCUGCUCCUCUCCUCUUCCCAGCACAGCAGCACACAGGACACAUUUCCAUCAUCUUUAAAUCCCGGACACUUGUGCCUUGGUGAUAAUCUCACAGCAGCAAACCCUACAUUGCUCAGGUCAACUUCCAGCUAGAAUCAUAAUAUCUGGAGUUAUUUUUCCACAAAGAAGGAUUCAAAAUAUCCCCCCCAAAAAAUAAGAUAUUUUUAGAAAUGAAAAUCCACUCGAAUUUUCUGCCUGAAGCUCUCGUUAAAAUGACUCCCUCUUGAAUCUUGUGUCCGACUCCAGCUGUGUCCAAGAGAAUGGAUCUCCAGUUUGUAGUGAGACUUCCGAGCCGCCCAGACCUGUGAAGGCGAGCAGUCUGUCAGAUAAUGAGAGUAGAGAACAUAAGCAACAUAAUGAGAGACAAAGUCACAAUAAUAGAGAUAAAAUGAAGGCACUCAAGUAUUAAUGAGAAAACAAAACAGAAUAAUAAGCAAAGUAAAAUAAUGAGACAGUAAGGCCAGUCAACAAAUAAUAGUGAAUUUACUGUAGGAAGGGUCUGCUGUACUACUUAAUGACCAUUCAAGUCUACUUGUUAAAGAUGUGUUUACACUUUGAAGUGUCAUUUUCUUGUACUAUGAUACAUUUUUUACUAUUUUCUUCCACCUGCCUUAAUUAACAUUGAGUAGAGUCUCACUAAUACAACUUGAAUAUUACUCAGUCACUAAUACAACUUGAAUAUUACUCAGCCGGCAGUCUUUGCCAUGGUGGAGUGUGACACUGAAUCAGUACUGACAUUUUAUCAUUUACAUUUCAUUACUUUGAUUACUCAACAAAAUACUGCAUUGUUUUUUGUAACCUGCUGACUGGUGAAGGGACAACGUGUGCUCCUCAACACUUGGUUCUUGCCACGUGCCGCAGCAGACUGACAGCUUCCAGUGGGCCUGUCUGAGGUAAUGCACCACACAACAUUAGGAAUAGGAACAAUUAUUUCACUAAAACUUUAAUUACCUGCACUAAAAACUUUCAAUGAGUUUAUGUACUUUGUGAAUUUAGGAAUCUGGAACAAUGAUUGCACUUAUUUAACUACCUGCACUAAAGUGUUUGCUUUAGUUAUGGUGUUGACAGUAAGUAUAAAUACUUUAAGGGGCGUGACCUCCGCCGCAUUGCUUCAGCAGCCUUCAAGUCCCGGCAAUGAAACGGUUCGUGUGAGGAAGACUGCUUCUGGUGCUACUGGUGGAAAUUGUUACUAGUGUCGUGGUGGCAGCACGGGCCUCGGCACUCCCUGGCACCACGGCAGGUGUCAGUGAGGCAGGCAGGUGUUGGUUCAAGUCCUGGCAGUGUCACUUCGCUGCUGUAUUGUUUGGUGCAGCGGAAAAUGCUACGUUUUUCAUCA